Molecule: non-coding RNA, 399 nt
Organism: Cyanistes caeruleus (blue tit)
Lineage: Eukaryota; Metazoa; Chordata; Aves; Passeriformes; Paridae
Source: RefSeq, a predicted model, not a curated record
CCGGGCCGGGCCGUGAGGGGAGCCCGGAACCGGCCGAGAGCGAGGAGCUGUAAACUUUCCAGCGAGGCCAAGUCCUACUCUGAGCUCUGCAGAGCAUUGAUGGGAAGCUCUCUGCCACCCAGAAGACUAUAUAAAUGACACAGGUUUUUUCUGUUUAGAUAAAUUUACAGUAUCUACUAAAACACAAAGCAGCAAUAACUUAUUACAGCAUUUAAUAUAUACUGAGAAAUAUUAAUCUACUCUGUAAAAAUCUUUCAUAUUAAAAAAAGAGGAACAAACCCUCACAAUAUUGAAAGAUAAAGCUGAGGUUCAAGGGAAGGUUAUUAUGCUGUGAUUACACCUGUAUACUUCCCUGUGGUUUCAUGCUUCCAGACUUUGUAAAUAAAUGGGUUAACUUCU